Molecule: ribosomal RNA, 468 nt
Filed under: uncultured bacterium
Lineage: Bacteria
Description: partial 16S ribosomal RNA
Rfam family: Bacterial small subunit ribosomal RNA
Source: RNAcentral
GACGGACGCUGGCGGCGUGCUUAACACAUGCAAGUCGAACGGAAAGGCCCUGCUUUUGUGGGGUGCUCGAGUGGCGAACGGGUGAGUAACACGUGAGUAACCUGCCCUUGACUUUGGGAUAACUUCAGGAAACUGGGGCUAAUACCGGAUAGGAGCUCCUGCUGCAUGGUGGGGGUUGGAAAGUUUCGGCGGUUGGGGAUGGACUCGCGGCUUAUCAGCUUGUUGGUGGGGUAGUGGCUUACCAAGGCUUUGACGGGUAGCCGGCCUGAGAGGGUGACCGGCCACAUUGGGACUGAGAUACGGCCCAGACUCCUACGGGAGGCAGCAGUGGGGAAUAUUGCACAAUGGGCGGAAGCCUGAUGCAGCAACGCCGCGUGCGGGAUGACGGCCUUCGGGCUGUAAACCGCUUUCGCCUGUGACGAAGCGUGAGUGACGGUAAUGGGUAAAGAAGCACCGGCUAACUACGUG